ACGCCCUAGCUCAAUCCACAAUAUACUUUUAACGAGUCUUCAUACUUGUGUAUUUAGUCUGUGUGUCUGUGUUUUGUGUGUUUAGGCGGUUGAGCAGCGGCGGUUAGCAAGCGGACUACGAGGCGGACUGGCCCCGCGUCCCGUGCCAUGUGUCUCCGCCCCCGCUGGAAAUGCACACCCAAUAAAUGUUCUUUUUACACAUCUCCUAUGCGUCCUUCUUACAAUAUGUGCAUGCAUAUGGGGGUAACGGCGAGCCCGUCAUUACAGGGGCCAUGAUUAAAAGGGACGGCCAGGGGCAUUCCUAUUGUGCCGCUAGAGGUGUAAUUCUUGGACCGGUGCAAGACAGGCGAAAGUGAAAGCAUUUGCCAAGAAUGUUUUCAUCAGAUACCGUCAUAGUUCCGACCAUAAAAGAUGCCAACUAGCGAUCCGGCGGCGUUAUUCCCAUGACCCGCUGGGCAGCGCCUAGGAAACCAAAGUCUUGGGUU
This 485-nucleotide non-coding RNA is filed under the name Larimichthys crocea (large yellow croaker). RNAcentral's name for it is "Eukaryotic small subunit ribosomal RNA". It matches the Rfam family "Eukaryotic small subunit ribosomal RNA", at positions 624 to 1113 of the family's 1831-position model. Lineage: Eukaryota; Metazoa; Chordata; Actinopteri; Sciaenidae. The record is from Rfam by way of RNAcentral.